RNAcentral lists this ribosomal RNA (758 nucleotides) under Dokdonia donghaensis. Its description in RNAcentral is "bacterial SSU rRNA". It matches the Rfam family "Bacterial small subunit ribosomal RNA", at positions 52 to 804 of the family's 1533-position model. The record is from RNAcentral. Lineage: Bacteria; Pseudomonadati; Bacteroidota; Flavobacteriia; Flavobacteriales; Flavobacteriaceae.
CACAUGCAGUCGAGGGGUAACAGGAGUAGCUUGCUAUUUGCUGACGACCGGCGCACGGGUGCGUAACGCGUAUAGAAUCUACCUUAUACUGGGGGAUAGCCUUUGGAAACGAAGAUUAAUACCCCAUAGUAUUAUUUUUUGGCAUCAUUAAAUAAUUAAAGUUUCGGCGGUAUAAGAUGACUAUGCGUUCUAUUAGUUAGUUGGUAAGGUAACGGCUUACCAAGACUUCGAUAGAUAGGGGUCCUGAGAGGGAGAUCCCCCACACUGGUACUGAGACACGGACCAGACUCCUACGGGAGGCAGCAGUGAGGAAUAUUGGACAAUGGAGGCAACUCUGAUCCAGCCAUGCCGCGUGUAGGAAGACUGCCCUAUGGGUUGUAAACUACUUUUAUAUGGGAAGAAUAAGAUCUACGUGUAGAUUGAUGACGGUACCAUAAGAAUAAGCACCGGCUAACUCCGUGCCAGCAGCCGCGGUAAUACGGAGGGUGCAAGCGUUAUCCGGAAUCAUUGGGUUUAAAGGGUCCGUAGGCGGGCAUAUAAGUCAGUGGUGAAAGUCUGUGGCUUAACCAUAGAAUUGCCAUUGAUACUGUAUGUCUUGAAUUAUUGUGAAGUGGUUAGAAUAUGUAGUGUAGCGGUGAAAUGCUUAGAGAUUACAUAGAAUACCGAUUGCGAAGGCAGAUCACUAACAAUAUAUUGACGCUGAUGGACGAAAGCGUAGGUAGCGAACAGGAUUAGAUACCCUGGUAGUCUACGCCGUA